This 185-nucleotide ribosomal RNA is filed under the name Salmonella enterica. RNAcentral describes it as "partial 16S ribosomal RNA". It matches the Rfam family "Bacterial small subunit ribosomal RNA", at positions 1 to 179 of the family's 1533-position model. Lineage: Bacteria; Pseudomonadati; Pseudomonadota; Gammaproteobacteria; Enterobacterales; Enterobacteriaceae. RNAcentral also lists the same sequence under 2 other names. The record is from RNAcentral.
AAAUUGAAGAGUUUGAUCAUGGCUCAGAUUGAACGCUGGCGGCAGGCCUAACACAUGCAAGUCGAACGGUAACAGGAAGCAGCUUGCUGCUUUGCUGACGAGUGGCGGACGGGUGAGUAAUGUCUGGGGAACUGCCUGAUGGAGGGGGAUAACUACUGGAAACGGUGGCUAAUACCGCAUAACGU